RNAcentral lists this transfer RNA (71 nucleotides) under Candidatus Iainarchaeum sp. Its description in RNAcentral is "tRNA-Gly". It matches the Rfam family "tRNA". Rfam says of the family: Transfer RNA (tRNA) molecules are approximately 80 nucleotides in length. Their secondary structure includes four short double-helical elements and three loops (D, anti-codon, and T loops). The record is from RNAcentral. Lineage: Archaea; Nanobdellati; Candidatus Iainarchaeota; Candidatus Iainarchaeia; Candidatus Iainarchaeales; Candidatus Iainarchaeaceae.
GCGCUCGUUGUUUAAUGGUAGAAUGCGACGUUGCCAACGUCGUGGCCCGGGUCCGAUUCCCGGCGGGCGCA